AUCCUGGACAGUUAUUGUUUUGUCCGAUUGUUUACAGUAUGGUUGUGCGUGGAUUUGUGUAUGGUUAUUAGUGCAUUUAACUUUUGAAGUGAUUGUAUAAACUUUUUGUAUGUAUGCCUCCGAACGUUAACGUCCGUUUGAAAGCAGGAUGGCAGAUACAGAUCGUUACGGGAAAGUGAGAAUGUCAGUGGACCAGUCACAAAGUUUAGAUUCAAUCGCCACCAAACGUAGAAGUAGUUCCCGUUCGAUAAAACGACGUCGGUUUGAUGAUGAGCUUGUGGAAUCCAGUCUUGGGACUGCGGGCUCCUUGGGAAAAGUGGCAAGAGCUCGAGCCCAGUCAAUAUCCAGCCCCGGAUUAGACUACUGCAUGAAGGAUGUAGAAAUAGGCACCCCUGGCAUACAGAAGCAACUGAAAGAGUUUAAAACAAAGGCAAUGAGUUCUGCUGCGACUACUCCAGCCAGUACUGUCACUCCUUCCUCGACUGUGUCCGUGCCACCCGAAAAUCGGCAGAGGCGUACGGGUGGUUCAGCCAGUGGACGCACUGGGGGCUCAGCCGGUAGUCGUCGCAAUAAGAGGCCGCGUCAUUCCCAUUCAGUCGCCACGAAGGAUCUCGGUCGUUGGAAGCCUACUGAUGAUCUUGCUCUGAUUACCAAUGUUCAGCUGACCAGUGAUUUGCGUACAGUGCACCGAGCUACUAAGUUCUCGUGCCGCUUCACUGUGCAAGAAAUCCAGCAGCGCUGGUACGCCUUACUGUAUGACCAAGCUGUCUCACGUGUCGCCGUGGCUGCCAUGCGAAAUCUCCACCCUGAAAUCGUAGCAGCUGUUCGCAGCCGUGCUCUUUUUAGCAAGGCAGAAGAGCAGUUGCUGCAGACCAUUAAAUCGGCUUCAAAUCCCACAAUUGACGUAUUUCAAGAAUUGCUGGAGCAAAAUGCCCAAGUAUUUUAUCCAGCACGGACAGCAAAGUCACUUUACAACCACUGGAACUUGAUGAAGCAGUAUCAUCUCCUACCUGAUCAGACUGUUCAAGCUGUUCCAAGGGGUGAGCAUGUGUUAAACUUCUCAGAUGCUGAAGAUCUGAUACAAGAUGGUGAUCUAGGAGAUCCUCCAGAUGAGGCAGUCGAAUUUGAAUUAGCGAGGUCUGAUAGGUUGAUUAAGAAAGAAAUCCGUUCUCUGGAGAAUGAGAUGGGAAACUGGCAAGUUCUUGUAGACUCAGUAACUGGUAUUAGUCCUCCCGAUUUUGACAAUCAAACCUUAGCUGUUUUGCGUGGACGGCUUGUAAGAUAUCUAAUGAGAUCUCGAGAAAUUACAAUGGGUCGAACAACGAAAGACAGCAGUGUGGACGUAGAUCUUUCGUUGGAGGGCCCAGCGUGGAAGAUAUCUCGACGACAGGGUACCAUUAGGUUACGGAACAAUGGAGAUUUUUUCCUGUCUAGUGAGGGGAAAAGGCCGAUAUACGUCGAUGGCAGACCGAUACUUGCAGGCAAUAAGUAUCGACUGAACAACAAUUCUGUUAUUGAAAUUGCGGGUCUUCGCUUCAUCUUCCUUGUUAACCAGGAGCUGAUCAACGUGAUUCGCCAUGAGGCAGCUAGACUCAAUCUCCAGCCAUAAUAUAUCCUCUUUUUGUGGCAAUUUUGUGUGUGUGUGUGUGUGUGUGUGUGUGUGUGUGUGUGUGAGAGAGAGAGAGAGA
RNAcentral lists this unclassified non-coding RNA (1688 nucleotides) under Schistocerca americana (American grasshopper). RNAcentral's name for it is "microspherule protein 1, transcript variant X2". Lineage: Eukaryota; Metazoa; Arthropoda; Insecta; Orthoptera; Acrididae. The record is from RNAcentral.